AGCGGCCGCGGUAAUUCCAGCUUCAAUAGCGUAUAUUAAAGUUGCUGCAGUUAAAAAGCUCGUAGUUGAAUUUCGGGACUAAUAUGUCGGUCGUGCCUCGGUACGUACUGGCUUAUUGGUUUCUCCUUUCUGAAGAACCAUGAUGUCAUUUAUUUGGUGUCGUGGGGAAUCAGGACUGUUACUUUGAAAAAAUUAGAGUGUUUAAAGCAGGCUCACGCUUGAAUACAUUAGCAUGGAAUAAUGAAAUAGGACGUUUGAUUCUAUUUUGUUGGUUUCUAGGAUCGACGUAAUGAUUAAUAGGGAUAGUUGGGGGCAUUAGUAUUCAAUUGUCAGAGGUGAAAUUCUUGGAUUUAUUGAAGACUAACUACUGCGAAAGCAUUUGCCAAGGAUGUUUUCAUUAAUCAAGAACGAAAGUUAGGGGAUCGAAGACGAUCAGACACCGUCGUAGUC
RNAcentral lists this ribosomal RNA (450 nucleotides) under uncultured Glomus. RNAcentral's name for it is "SSU rRNA". It matches the Rfam family "Eukaryotic small subunit ribosomal RNA", at positions 569 to 1025 of the family's 1831-position model. The record is from RNAcentral. Lineage: Eukaryota; Fungi; Glomeromycota; Glomeromycetes; Glomerales; Glomeraceae.